Cryptomeria japonica (Japanese cedar) is the source of this 566-nucleotide long non-coding RNA. RefSeq lists it as uncharacterized. The record is from RefSeq and is a predicted model, not a curated record. The transcript has 3 exons. Lineage: Eukaryota; Viridiplantae; Streptophyta; Pinopsida; Cupressales; Cupressaceae.
UCAGGUGAUAAAGAAAAAGAUCAACAACAUAUGCUGCCCUUUUCUAUUGAUCUUAACCAGACAUCAAUGACAAUGGAUGCAAUACAAACUAGAUAUGGUCACAAAAUUAUUAAAUAAAAACAAUCAAUUUUGUGUCUUUAGUUUGUAAUUAAUUUUAUCUAAGCUGAUGUGUUGAAUGUGCUUGUUAUUGCAGCAUUAGAAGAUCAUCAAAAAAAUCAAGAAUAUAUGGUACCGAUUUCUGUUGAUCCUGAGAAGACAACAACAACAAUAGUUGAUGCCAUGCAAGCUAGAGAUGAUGGCCAACAAAACUCUCAAAAAAACAUGCAACCAUUUUCUAUUGAUCUUAAUCAAAUGAUGACAAUAAUGGACACAAUGCAAAGCGGAAACGGUGUUGAUGAUAUUCAUAUGGAGGAUCAUGAUCAACACUUUUUUGGUUAAUCACUAUAGUGUAUUAUUCUCCAAUGUAUUAAUCGUUAAGUACUUUAACUCUAUUUUAAAAUUAGAGCUUGGAGGGAGUGGAUUCUGGAAUUAAGAUAAAGACAUUAUUUGUAUAUUGUACUUUUGAG